This 427-nucleotide ribosomal RNA is filed under the name Escherichia coli. RNAcentral describes it as "partial 23S ribosomal RNA". It matches the Rfam family "Bacterial large subunit ribosomal RNA", at positions 766 to 1191 of the family's 2925-position model. The record is from RNAcentral. Lineage: Bacteria; Pseudomonadati; Pseudomonadota; Gammaproteobacteria; Enterobacterales; Enterobacteriaceae.
CUGGAGGACCGAACCGACUAAUGUUGAAAAAUUAGCGGAUGACUUGUGGCUGGGGGUGAAAGGCCAAUCAAACCGGGAGAUAGCUGGUUCUCCCCGAAAGCUAUUUAGGUAGCGCCUCGUGAAUUCAUCUCCGGGGGUAGAGCACUGUUUCGGCAAGGGGGUCAUCCCGACUUACCAACCCGAUGCAAACUGCGAAUACCGGAGAAUGUUAUCACGGGAGACACACGGCGGGUGCUAACGUCCGUCGUGAAGAGGGAAACAACCCAGACCGCCAGCUAAGGUCCCAAAGUCAUGGUUAAGUGGGAAACGAUGUGGGAAGGCCCAGACAGCCAGGAUGUUGGCUUAGAAGCAGCCAUCAUUUAAAGAAAGCGUAAUAGCUCACUGGUCGAGUCGGCCUGCGCGGAAGAUGUAACGGGGCUAAACCAUG